Molecule: ribosomal RNA, 502 nt
Filed under: uncultured Glomeromycotina
Lineage: Eukaryota; Fungi; Glomeromycota
Description: partial small subunit ribosomal RNA
Rfam family: Eukaryotic small subunit ribosomal RNA
Source: RNAcentral
CCAAUAGCGUAUAUUAAAGUUGUUGCAGUUAAAAAGCUCGUAGUUGAACUUCGGGGUUUACCCAUUGGUCAGGCUUAAUUGUCUGUACUGGUGAGAUGAAUCUCUACCUUCUGAGGAACUUUCAUGCCAUUUAUUUGGUGUGAUUGGAAAUCAGGACUGUUACUUUGAAAAAAUUAGAGUGUUUAAAGCAGGCUAACGUCUGAAUACAUUAGCAUGGAAUAAUGAAAUAGGACGGAUUGAUUCUAUUUCGUUGGUUUCUAGGAUCACCGUAAUGAUUAAUAGGGAUAGUUGGGGGCAUUAGUAUUCAAUUGUCAGAGGUGAAAUUCUUGGAUUUAUUGAAGACUAACUACUGCGAAAGCAUUUGCCAAGGAUGUUUUCAUUAAUCAAGAACGAAAGUUAGGGGAUCGAAGACGAUCAGAUACCGUCGUAGUCUUAACCAUAAACUAUGCCGACUAGGGAUCGGACGAAGUUAAUUUUAUAAUGACGCGUUCGGCACCUUACG